UGGGGAAUAUUGGACAAUGGGCGCAAGCCUGAUCCAGCCAUGCCGCGUGAGUGAUGAAGGCCCUAGGGUUGUAAAGCUCUUUCACCGGUGAAGAUAAUGACGGUAACCGGAGAAGAAGCCCCGGCUAACUUCGUGCCAGCAGCCGCGGUAAUACGAAGGGGGCUAGCGUUGUUCGGAUUUACUGGGCGUAAAGCGCACGUAGGCGGACUUUUAAGUCAGGGGUGAAAUCCCGGGGCUCAACCCCGGAACUGCCUUUGAUACUGGAAGUCUUGAGUAUGGUAGAGGUGAGGGGAAUUCCGGGUGUAGAGGUGAAAUUCGUAGAUAUUCGGAGGAACACCAGUGGCGAAGGCGGCUCACUGGACCAUUACUGACGCUGAGGUGCGAAAGCGUGGGGAGCAAACAGG
Molecule: ribosomal RNA, 404 nt
Filed under: Actinomycetes bacterium
Lineage: Bacteria; Bacillati; Actinomycetota; Actinomycetes
Description: Actinobacteria bacterium partial 16S ribosomal RNA
Rfam family: Bacterial small subunit ribosomal RNA
Source: RNAcentral